Myiozetetes cayanensis is the source of this 522-nucleotide long non-coding RNA. RefSeq lists it as uncharacterized. The transcript is spliced from 3 exons. The record is from RefSeq and is a predicted model, not a curated record. NCBI's taxonomy places the organism in Eukaryota, Metazoa, Chordata, Aves, Passeriformes, Tyrannidae.
CCUAGCUUCUCAGCCCAUGGAAAGUGGCGAGCAUGCACCAAGGAGGCUACAGAACAAGAUGGAAAGUCUGGAAGACCUGGUGGAAUUGUUACAGAUAGAAAACCAAGCCACGUCACCAGUGAUCAGAACUCAGGAGGUGAAGACAAAGAAAUCCAAGGAAAAGGAGAACAGGCUCUCCAAGGGAAGAUGUUAGUCAUUCCUUUCAUGUGGAUGGCACAGGAGGACACCCCGGAUGACAGCCAGCCCCUAAGAGAGAAAACCUAAUGCCAGGCUAAUCUGUGGAGAGACUCCAAACAGUAAGUUUAACUCCAGAGAGAAUGUGGGAUGGGCGCGGGUUUUGCCAAGCGAGCCAGGUGCCACGCGCGUUUCUGCAGGAGACUUGGAACUGCUUUAUGCCCAGUCCCCUCAGGCUGUGCCUGCACAGCAUCCAGCUGCAGCACUCAGCAUCUGUACACCAAACUGCUUCACAGGCAGGAGCAGAUUGCAUUCCACCUAAAAGUAAUCAAGUUGUUUAAUUUAUCA